RNAcentral lists this non-coding RNA (30 nucleotides) under Rattus norvegicus (Norway rat). The record is from RNAcentral. Lineage: Eukaryota; Metazoa; Chordata; Mammalia; Rodentia; Muridae.
UUGUCUUUUGUGGAUUCUAUGCUUGUGCCC